RNAcentral lists this ribosomal RNA (1278 nucleotides) under Lysinibacillus sp. RNAcentral describes it as "bacterial SSU rRNA". It matches the Rfam family "Bacterial small subunit ribosomal RNA", at positions 34 to 1279 of the family's 1533-position model. Lineage: Bacteria; Bacillati; Bacillota; Bacilli; Caryophanales; Bacillaceae. The record is from RNAcentral.
CGCAAAUGCGGCGGCUACAAUGCAGUCGAGCGAACAGAAAAGGAGCUUGCUCCUUCAACGUUAGCGGCGGAUGGGUGAGUAACACGUGUGCGACCUACCUUAUAGUUUGGGAUAACUCCGGGAAACCGGGGCUAAUACCGAAUAAUCUGUUUCACCUCAGGGUGAAACACUGAAAGACGGUUUCGGCUGUCCCUAUAGGAUGGGCCCGCGGCGCGGUAGCUAGUUGGUGAGGUAACGGCUCACCAAGGCGACCAUGCAUAACCAACCUGAGAGGGUGAUCGGACACACUGGGACUGAGACACGGCCCAGACUCCUACGGGAGGCAGCAGUAGGGAAUCUUCCCCAAUGGGCGAAAGCCUGAUGGAGCAACGCCGCGUGAGUGAAUAAGGAUUUCUGUUCGUAAAACUCUGUUGUAAGGGAAGAACAAGUACUGUAGUAACUGGCUGUACCUUGACGGUACCUUAUUAAAAAGCCACGGCUAACUACGUGCCAGCAGCCGCGGUAAUACUUAGGUGGCAAGCGUUGUCCGGAAUUAUUGGGCGUAAAGCGCGCGCAGGUGGUUUCUUAAGUCUGAUGUGAAAGCCCACGGCUCAACCGUGGAGGGUCAUUGGAAACUGGGAGACUUGAGUGCAGAAGAGGAUAGUGGAAUUCCAAGUGUAGCGGUGAAAUGCGUAGAGAUUUGGAGGAACACCAGUGGCUGAAGGCGACUAUCUGGUCUGUAACUGACACUGAGGCGCGAAAGCGUGAGGAGCAAACAGGAUUAUAUACCCCUGGUAGUCCACGCCGUAAACGAUGAGUGCUAUGUGUUACGGGGUGUCCGCCCCUUAGUGCUGCAGCUAACGCAUUAAGCACUCCGCCUGGAGGAGUACAGUCGCAAGACUGAGACUCAGAGGAAUUGACGGGGGCCCGCACGAGCGGUGGAUCAUGUGGUUUAUUUCAAAGCUACCCGGACAAGCUUACCAGGUCUUGACCUCCCGAUGACUACUGUACAUAUAUGGUUUCCCCUUCGGGGGCCGACUGUGACUGUGAUGCCAUGGUCGUCGAUCAGCUCGUGUCAGUGACAUGUUGGGUUAAGUCCGCGAUCGAUCGCUAACCCUCGAUCUUUAGUGCCAUCAUCUAGUAGACUGCCUCGUAAGACUGACUGCCAGGUGAGCUAGCCGAUAGGCAUCGAUGUGAUGACGUCCGAUCAGUCAUGGCCCCUACGGACUGGACUACGACGGUCUACAUGGAUGCCAUCCACCGAGUGCCAACUCACUCCGAGUGAAGCCUAAUCCUAUA